GACGAACGCUGGCGGCGUGCUUAACACAUGCAAGUCGAACGGAAAGGCCCUGCUUUUGUGGGGUGCUCGAGUGGCGAACGGGUGAGUAACACGUGAGUAACCUGCCCUUGACUUUGGGAUAACUUCAGGAAACUGGGACUAAUACCGGAUAGGAGCUCCUGCUGCAUGGUGGGGGUUGGAAAGUUUCGGCGGUUGGGGAUGGACUCGCGGCUUAUCAGCUUGUUGGUGGGGUAGUGGCUUACAAAGGCUUUGACGGGUAGCCGGCCUGAGAGGGUGAACGGCCACAUUGGGACUGAGAUACGGCCCAGACUCCUACGGGAGGCAGAAGUGGGGAAUAUUGCACAAUGGGCGGAAGCCUGAUGCAGCAACGCCGCGUGCGGGAUGACGGCCUUCGGGUUGUAAACCGCUUUCGCCUGUGACGAAGCGUGAGUGACGGUAAUGGGUAAAGAAGCACCGGCUAACUACGUG
Molecule: ribosomal RNA, 468 nt
Filed under: uncultured bacterium
Lineage: Bacteria
Description: partial 16S ribosomal RNA
Rfam family: Bacterial small subunit ribosomal RNA
Source: RNAcentral